Molecule: ribosomal RNA, 459 nt
Filed under: uncultured bacterium
Lineage: Bacteria
Description: bacterial SSU rRNA
Rfam family: Bacterial small subunit ribosomal RNA
Source: RNAcentral
AACGAACGCUGGCGGCAUGCCUAACACAUGCAAGUCGAACGAAGGCUUCGGCCUUAGUGGCGCACGGGUGCGUAACGCGUGGGAAUCUGCCCUUGGGUUCGGAAUAACUCAGAGAAAUUUGAGCUAAUACCGGAUGAUGACGUAAGUCCAAAGAUUUAUCGCCCAAGGAUGAGCCCGCAUAAGAUUAGCUAGUUGGUGGGGUAAAGGCCUACCAAGGCGACGAUCUUUAGCUGGUCUGAGAGGAUGAUCAGCCACACUGGGACUGAGACACGGCCCAGACUCCUACGGGAGGCAGCAGUGGGGAAUAUUGGACAAUGGGCGAAGGCCUGAUCCAGCAAUGCCGCGUGAGUGAUGAAGGCCUUAGGGUUGUAAAGCACUUUACCAGGGAUGAUAAUGACAGUACCUGGAGAAUAAGCUCCGGCUAACUCCGUGCCAGCAGCCGCGGUAAAAUAUCGUACG